This is a long non-coding RNA of Bombina bombina (fire-bellied toad), 1040 nucleotides long. RefSeq lists it as uncharacterized. The record is from RefSeq and is a predicted model, not a curated record. NCBI's taxonomy places the organism in Eukaryota, Metazoa, Chordata, Amphibia, Anura, Bombinatoridae. The transcript has 3 exons.
CUAUAUGUCACCCUGUGAAUAACACGGAAGUGUCGGCUGGGAUGAGUCAGAUCUAAAUCAGAGCAAAUGAUUCCAGCGCUCAGAUGUUCCUCAGAGGUUGCUGUGGCGAUGCUCUGAAGCUUAGCAAAGCGGCGGAAAAGAUUUGGAAGUGUGCUUCACUAGCGUGUGUGAGACCACAAUACUACUUAAACGAGUCAACAGCACCCAAUCAAGUGGCAUUCCUGCACAUCAUGAUGCCCAGGGCCAGACUGGGAAAUCAGACGGCCAUGGAAAUUUUUGAAGACCUCAGAGCAUCCAGCACAUGUAUUGUAGAGUCACGAUUAUGCUGUAGCUAAGAAAUGAUUUAUUAACAUAUAAAUUACAUAUAGAGAUUCCCACAACAGGUAAUACUACAUUAUGUCAUAUAAAAAGCUAAUGCGAUACCUUGGCAUCAGGUGGAAUAGCAGCAUGGGUAACUAAAUGACUCAAAAAAUAAAACAAAAAAGCUGACGCGUUUUGCUCCGCAGAGAGGUCUUUCUCAAAGCAAAAAUAAAAAACAUUACAGAUAUUCCCAUGCAUUUUGCACCGGUACAAAAAACAUUGAUAAAUCCUUAACAAUAGUUAGUUGUGCAAGUAAGAAAUGCAGAGUGUAAUGCUGAAAAGUAAAUCUACUGAAAUAGAUGUUAGUACUACAGAUUGCAUUGUAAGCUUGUGUGACAUUUCAAUGACUCCUAAAACACUUUUAAAAGUAUUAACAUCCCUGAGUGCCGCACAUCAGAGAGAGAUUUCUCAUUACUGGUGCAACAGUAGGUGUCCUGAUAAAAAAUGUGUGCACAACCAUGGCUGUAUCAUUGGUUCUAUGUUACCCCAUACAUAUGACGGAAUAAUACGCAGAGUUCCCAGAGAAGUCUGUGCCACCACUUUUGAACAUUUCGGAAUCUGUCAAAUCUAUAGAUGAGACAUUUAAAGCCAAACAACUGAUGGGGCUUCCUUGAAUAAAUGUGUAUUUUAGCAAAUAAAAAAAAUCUUUAAAUAAAUCAUACAGAAAUGUUGAAAAUGCU